UACAGAGGGUGCAAGCGUUAAUCGGAAUUACUGGGCGUAAAGCGUGCGCAGUCGGUUAUUUAAGUCGGGCGUGAAAGCCCCGGGCUCAACCUGGGAAUGGCAUUGGAAACUGGCGACCUAGAGUGCGGUAGAGGGUAGUGGAAUUCCCGGUGUAGCAGUGAAAUGCGUAGAGAUCGGGAGGAACAUCUGUGGCGAAGGCGACUACCUGGACCAGCACUGACACUGAGGCACGAAAGCGUGGGGAGCAAACAGG
Molecule: ribosomal RNA, 253 nt
Filed under: uncultured bacterium
Lineage: Bacteria
Description: partial 16S ribosomal RNA
Rfam family: Bacterial small subunit ribosomal RNA
Source: RNAcentral